UAUUUAAGGAGGCAAAACCGGUUCAAACUGGUGCACUUUCAAGAAAGAACAGAAAAGGAUGCGGAGCUGCUGCUGACUCUCCACUUCGCUUUUUUUGUCCUACGUUGGAGGUGAAUGUCCUUUACUAGGAAACUGGUGUGUUCAAACUUUGGUCUACUGGAAUCAGUUUGUAAGUGGCAUGAAGUCAUGGACCAUGUCUGAUAUUACACAUCACUGCAUCCUUCCAGGAGCUCAGUGCCUGACCUAUAGUAUGAGUUCAUCUGAAGGGAAAUGCUUCACUGAAUGGUUAUAACUCAACUCCAAACCUCACUGCCAUUCCCACAGUGACUCAUCGAGAGCAGGAGGAUGCUGGGAAAAUCUUUUAGGCCAUUUGGAGGAGUGCUUGAAUAAGUGGUUUAACACCUGUUCACAGACUACUCACCACCCUCUGACCCUCAUCCACCAAGCCCUUUGGUAUUUCAUGGAGGACUUUAUUGGAGCUGGCCAGUGUUGGGUGCCUUGCGAAUUCUAUGCAUAAUUUAGCAAAUUUACCAAUGUUUGCCACCAUGUGUUCUAGCCCUGACUCUGGGACUUCAAGACUCCAGCCAUAUUUUAGAGCCUUUGACUUUCAUUUGUCCAUCCAGUUCUGUAAAUAUUGACAAAAUGAGGCUCUUAAAUACAGUAAAAUGUGCUCAGAUGAAUAACAAAUCUAUAGUGAAGAUGCCUAAAUCUCUCAGUAAACCUCAAAUCCUGGGAAGGUUUCCUAAAGUAGUUUCUUUGUGUCCCUUUCCCACCUCCUAGGGCAGGGCAGAGAACCUGGAUGAGAGACAUGGAUAAAGGGAUAUUUUAUGGAAUCUUUUAAACACUGACAUUUCAUGAAUUUUCUUUUGAGUGAGGAAUGGAGCAAGGUUUUGCACUUGCCUUAUUAAUCCCAAAGAUAGGCCUACAAAGCAGCGUCCUUGGGGACACAGUUUCCCUGGGCUUGGGGUGUCAAGUCAGCACAGAGGUGACAAAAUUAACUUUGGAAGUCCCUUAAUGCACCCAUACAGGACAGUGUUACUAGUUUUUGUGCCUAAAAUCCUGCAAGUAAUUUUUGUGUACCUUCAAGUAUGAGAACCACUGUGAGGAGGAACAGAGUAGGUGUGCAGCUCUGAGGAAUUCAAACCAACCUGUCUUUAAAAUCACCAUCAAAACCUUAGUAUGAGUGGGGGAUGAGCUGGCAUUCCCAGAAUGACCCUGACAGCCUACAGGCUUUAGUCGACCCUGUUUUUAUAUUGAGCCUUUCUAACCGUAAUGCAGUGUUACAGAUUGAUUAUGAUUGCUAAGCUUAAACUAGGAAGCGGAAUCACAUCUCGGAGGACAGGGGCAGGGGAGAGUGGGUGGGUUUAGUCUCCCAAACUUGCAAGCCUGCGCUAAAUUAGACCUUGAUGCAGCUUCACUGUACUCAAGAAAGCAAUGGAAUUCUUGGGCAAACCAGGGCAGUUUGUGGAUGUAAAAUGACUUUAAAAAUUAAACGCUGUAGUGAAUUCAAAUGUUCAAACUCAGAGUUCCUCAGAGUGGAGGAGAAAUCCCUAUAAUAGAGGCCUUUCUCUCUCCUUUCACUUCUCCCCUCUCAUCUUAUUGUAUCUUCAAUUAUCUGGGUAAUUUGGUCCUGAGGGCAUAAAUUCCUUUAUAACUCAAAUCCAUUAUGCAGAGAAGAGUCAUCAAGAAAUUACUCAGAUUGCAUCCCUGAUGGUGUGAAGGUUUUGGAGCAGAUCCGGCAUCCCAUUAGCAAAGCACUGCUCUCGAAUUUAGAUUUGAGCCUGGAGGCUGGACAUCCAUGCUCUUCCCUUCACCCCUCUUUGUUUCAGCAAGAGCCGCCUGUAGGGAAGUCCUGUGCUGGUGCUGGCUGGCGGCAGCUUCUCUCCAUCCGAGGCCACGGCUGCUGCCAGCUUCCCUUGGCUGGCGUAGACACCUUCUCUCCAGGCCAGGGAGAGCCGCUGCCAGGCGGGCAGACGUAUGCUUCCAUCAUGUCUCACCAUCUCCUGGAGCCAGGCACCCAGGCCUUUUGAUUCCUGUAAAAUUCAGGUCCUUCUGGUAGAGAGCUGGUUUUCAUGUCUGUGGCCUGAUGGGGAUUGUCCUUGUGCAGCUGCUGGUGGUCUGUGAGCAGCCUGCCUUUGAGCUGACAGGCCCUCAACCAAAAUGCAAACACAUUCAAGUUCAGUUUUAGAAGAGGACAUUCUAAGUCUGGCAACCUCUCUCAUCUGGCUUCAUUCUUUCUAGAUUUCUGGUUUACUAGGGAUAUUCAGUUUGGUUUUAUUAUUUGUGUAUACAGGUUUUCCCUCUCCCCCCACCACCCCCGCUCACCCCCGCAAAGUGACGACUUUGAGGAAGGCAGCAUGUAGAAGGAUCUUAGAUUAUGGUUCAGGCAGACCUGUGUCUAUUGCUCUUUGUCUUCCCUCACAAUUAAGUAAAUACUGUGAGAAGAGAGAAUUUUGUGUAUUUCAUUCUCUGCUGUGUCCCCAGUGUCUGGCAUUGUGCCAGGCACAUAGUAGGUGAUCCAUGAGGAAUUAAAGUGCAUGAGGAAAAGAAUGGGCUAGCAUGCUGUGCUCUAAUUAGCAGCUUUGUGAUUUUAGGAGGAAUUCUUUUAAAUGUCAUUUUUCAUUUUGUCACCUGCAAAAUGGUCAUGAAAUGUGUAAGACCAUAGAGAAAGUACCUGGCUAGUGCUGUGUUCAACAAAUGGUAGGGUCUCCCUCUCCCGUUUGUCAACCGUAGAGUGAACUCUUCAAGGACAAACACCUAGUUUGAUUCUCCAUUUCCCAGGCCUAGCACUGCUCCUGCACAGAGUGGGUGUUCCAUAGCGACUUGUUGAAUGAAUAUGUCCUCCAUGGGAAGCGGGUGCUUGGGGAUCAGUGAAGUUGACUACUGAGGACAGGCCUAGAAAAGUUACCUUUCUAUUGUGUCUCAUUCUGGUAUCUGUUUCUAUGUGAGGGAAAUGAAUAGAGAAUUCUCUCCAGAUCAUCUGGAUCUAUGGAUUAUGUGAUGAUUUGAAAAGGAAUUUUUUUACUGAAAUUUCUUCUUUUCAGUCAAAAAAGACCACUCAUAGGAUAAAACGCCAGGCCUUGCAGUGAUUUGCUGACCACACUCUACAUAUUUUGAAGUUUUCAGGAUCAUGAAUGCUGGAAGAUUGACAGCUCUGGGAAGAGCGCCAUCUCUCAAGUGCACAUUUUAGGAGAUGCAGUAGUUGAAAUUGCACCUCUCCAGUACCUUAUGAGGCCUCUGCUGACAUGACGUGACGUGCCCAGCACUCAGCACAGGACCCUCCUUCAGCUUCUCUCUGACUCUUCGGCAAUGUGCAUGCUAAGCUCCAUGGGGAAAGGCUCUGACUUCCGCAGGAAAUCCACCCCAUAGGGUCAGAGAGAUUCUAGGAAGAUGGACUUAGAUGAUCAUCAGUUCUGAGGCACCCGGGCUGACAACGACAGCGUCUCCUACCUGGAGCUACUGGUGUGUGCAUGUGCAAAGACAAAAGGGAUGGACACUUUUCUGAAAGUUUGAUAUGUAUUAACCCACGUAAUCUUCACAAUUCCUGAUAAACACAGCCAUGUAAGAAUGCCUGGUCAGCUGAUCACAGAACUGGAUUCCAAUAUAUUUCCAUUGUCGACAUUAAACCCAGUUAAAGUUCUUAUUGAUGAAUUCCAAAAAUACUUUUUUAUUCAUAUUGGUUAUAUGUGGAAUUUUGAGACUCAAGCUUUUUUUUCAUUCCACAAAGCAUAUAUGAUAGGAUUGUUUCACAAUUAUUCUUAUAGCAAAUUGGGACCUACAUGCUGAUGAGAGAAUUAAAGUAAUUUUAUGUGAUACUUCCAGAAUAUAAUACAUAUUGCAUAAUUUUCCUAUUGAGAAGAAUGAUGUUUUCCAGAUGCAAUCAUAUAUAAACCUAAUAAUGAAAUGUCCACUAGGGUAUAAUUUAAAUUAAUCUAUUCUGCUUUUUAAAAAAUGCAUUCCUUCCGUACUGAGAUAUUUUAUUUCUUGUUUAGAAAACUAUAUAAUUUGAACUUUUAACUAUCAUGCUUAAUUUCUCAAAGGAAGGCAGUUAGUCUUUGGAACUUCUAUUAUUUGUUGUAGUAAAUCUCCUGUUCAUUUAAAACUUUUCCUCAAUUCUUCCUUUUCUUUGGGUUUGGAUGUCCUAUAGUCCAGGUAGGGAUAUAUAUUCAUAGAUCUGUAUUCUAAUCUUGUACCUUCUACUAUAUUGCUUAGAGCAAUUGCUUAUAAACUUAAUGUCAUUAAACUUUUUAAUGUCACAUCACUAUCAAUAAAAUAUUUUUGAGUGUGCA
This is a long non-coding RNA of Bubalus bubalis (water buffalo), 4289 nucleotides long. RefSeq lists it as uncharacterized. The transcript is spliced from 7 exons. Lineage: Eukaryota; Metazoa; Chordata; Mammalia; Artiodactyla; Bovidae. The record is from RefSeq and is a predicted model, not a curated record.